UACGUAGGGUGCGAGCGUUAAUCGGAAUUACUGGGCGUAAAGCGUGCGCAGGCGGUUAUGCAAGCCAGAUGUGGAAUCCCCGGGCUCAACCUGGGAACUGCAUUUGUGACUGUAUGACUAGAGUACGGUAGAGGGGGAUGGAAUUCCGCGUGUAGCAGUGAAAUGCGUAGAUAUGCGGAGGAACACCGAUGGCGAAGGCAAUCCCCUGGACCUGUACUGACGCUCAUGCACGAAAGCGUGGGGAGCAAACAGG
This 253-nucleotide ribosomal RNA is filed under the name uncultured bacterium. Its description in RNAcentral is "partial 16S ribosomal RNA". It matches the Rfam family "Bacterial small subunit ribosomal RNA", at positions 524 to 776 of the family's 1533-position model. The record is from RNAcentral.